CAUAAGAGAGUGUAGCCAGGUAGGAAGCAGGCCCAUACAGCAGCUCUGCUGGAAACUCCACAAAGGUGGAAGCCCAGGGUUUCUCCUAGCACUUGGAGCCCAUGGCCCCACAUGGGGCUAGUCAACAACAAAUCGUUGUUCCAUAAAUGAAUGAAUGAAUGAACCUGUCACAUAGUGGCAAAGGGUGACCAAGGGGCUUGACUCUGGAUGAAAUCUGUCAAACUAGACCAGAAAACCAAAGGCUAAGAACCUUUGUUUUGAGCAGGAGAAAACCCUGUCUUUUCGACAGUCUUUUCUUAUGUUGUAUGUAUUUUCUUGCUUUGCCUCCUGUCCUGGCCUGGAAGCUCACUGAGGGCAGAGUGCUCAUCUUAACUCUUCUCUUUUUUUGAGACAGAGUCUUGCUCUGUUGCCCAGGCUGGAGUGCAGAGGUGCAAUCUCGGCUCACUGCAAUCUCUGCCUCCCAGGUUGAAGUGAUUCUCCUGCCUCAGCCUCCCAUGCAGCUGGGAUUACAGACAUGUGCCAUCAUGCCCAGCUAAUUUUUGUAUUUUAGUAGAGACAAGGUUUCACCAUGUUGGUCAGGCUGCUCUCAAACUCUUGGCCUCAGGUGAUCCACCCGCCUCGGCCUCAAAAAGUGCUGGGAUUACAGGCAUGAGACACUGCGCCCAGCUACUUGUUUUAACUCUUUUGGUCUUUUUCUUCUUUUAGAGGGCAUUGUGCAUGGCAUGAGAUGCUAAAUGAUGCUGAACCCAUGAAAGAAUCCAGACUGUCAUCUUCAUCACCAUCAUUAUCACCAUCAUAUUCACCUUUGUCAUCAUUUUUAUCAUUUUCCUUCAUCAUCAACCUUCAUUAUCUUCAUCAUCUUUUUCUUCCCCUUUGUUGAUUUCAUUUUCCCUCGGAAUAGUGUUGUGCUGAUUUCUAAGUACUUUCACGGGUAUGAUUCUGUGGCGGUAUACACUUGUGCUCUCUAGCUGACCGGGUUAGGAUUUUCCUUGUAGUCAGCAUCAGCAUCAGCCCCUCUUCUUGGGCACCUGCUACUGGUUCUGCUUGUUCUCCUGAUUCUCCAGGCACAUCUUUAGGAAUAGGCAGCUUUAGGUGCAGUGAGGAAACAUAAGCUAGUAUUUAUUAUAGUAAAAGAGAAAUUCGUUAAAUCACUAGGCAAAAAUCAAUAAUUCAAACAAAGAAAAAGGGACUAAAAGCAAAGUUGCAUUGCUUUCAGUAAUGUAAAGUACUCUGCUUUGACCCUAUUUUGGCCAGUGUUCUUAGUGAAGAAUGCGCCAGUUCUUAAAUAUCACAUGACUUCCUUAUUAGUCUUAACAAAAUAACAAAGAACUGUGCAUAUGAGAAUGGUUAGAGCAGCCUUUUCAUCUUACUGAUAUCAAUACAAAUAAAGAGAUAUUUUGCUGCAACAGGUCCUGGCUUCAAAAAGAGCCAUAAAUGCCUGGUUUUUUUUUUUAAUCAUUUCUGACUCUUGGUUUUCAGAGCAUUUGAUCUCUCUUCUUUCUCUCUCUGGCAUCCUCUAUCACAAGCAUGAAGUGGAGAUUCGUGGAGCCCUCGAGCCAGUUCUUUGGUUUUCAGGGCCUCUGCUCCUGUGGUCACCUGAGGACUGACUCAAGCUGAUGGAAGCCUUGACAUGUGCUCCCACCAUCUCCCUGGCAAGUGAAGAAGGUGUGAUGACUCAUGGCUUGGCUCUCUAAAGUUCAACCUUCUAUAUACAAACCAUCGGUCACAGACAGUUAUAUGGCCACCCUAAUUUCAAAAGAGAGAAGUACAAUCCCACCAUGUGCUCACAGAGGGGAGAACUAGGGGAAGUCAUAGAUUUGAAGCCCUUGGAGGGAUUUGGCAUGCCACUGCUGGCUCAGAGAUGGAGGCAGCCACAUGUCAAGGAGUGUGGGCAUCCUUCAGGAGCUGCGAGUAGCCCCACCUGACAGCCAGCAAGGAAACAGUGACCUCAGACCUGCAGCUGCAAUCAGUCGGCAACCUGAAUGAGCGUGGAAGCAGAUUCUUCCCUG
Molecule: long non-coding RNA, 2009 nt
Organism: Gorilla gorilla gorilla (western lowland gorilla)
Lineage: Eukaryota; Metazoa; Chordata; Mammalia; Primates; Hominidae
Exons: 3
Source: RefSeq, a predicted model, not a curated record